UAAAAUAAGACAACUAAUUUUUUCAUCAGCACCUUGACUAAACAGGUUCUUUUCUAUUAAAAAUACAGCUCUACUGUUUAUAACUUGCCUUUAAAAAUAAAACCAAACUCAAAAGAAAUACCACACAAUAAUGUCAUGACACCUCUCAUUUCUUUUUUCAGCUGAAAAGGAGAUUGCUUCUUGCAAAAAGAGUGCUCACAAAAUAAGUGCGUGCCUUUUUCAUAGGCAAAACCCUUCAUCUCAUCCUGAUGUAACUACCCUAAGAACAUGUGACUAAAACAGGACUCAGUACUCUUGCAAAGGCCUCCUGACUGCUAAGUGAAAUACAAGAUUUCUUCGCAGAUAUUAAAGUUGAACUCAUUCUGGACUUGUCAGCCUUCUAGAUCCAUGCCAUUGCAGUGAGGUGAGAACAGCUUGACAUGAGCCUUCUGAAAACUAUGCUGGAACAGCAUCCCUCAACCUUGCUGUUCACAGGUGAUGAUUCUGAGCAAGCUGGGUGCUGCAGCACCAGAGCCCUGUGUCCUGAUGACUGCAAACAUGAGACACUGAGAAGCUUCUCUUCUGCUGGAACCUGCUCCAUCUCCACUGGGUGUGAAUCACCAGUAGCAGCACGUGCCUUGCACAAAGCUAGCCUGAUGUUUGCUGGGCUCUCAGAUAAGAGGAACUUCUAUAAGACCCCCCCUUCCUCUAGGUUUUCUUCUUUUAUGAGAUCAGCUCAGGGCACAGGCAGGAUUAGGGGAUCAGAUAACAGCACAUCCUUCAGCAAAAUGAACUCUGAUAACUAGCCUACAAACAUUCAGAUUUUCAUCUUUCAGCUCUCUGUGUCAUCCUGAACUUGAAUGUAAUUACAGCUAUCUCCUCUGGCUUACUGCCCAUGAAUUAUUAUCCUGUACAUCAUCCACAAUUUGACAUUUAUUUGUUCCAAAUUAAAAUGACCUUUGCACUUGGGAGAUAAUAAAUUAUUUUUGGAAUUAUAGUAAUUCUCUGUCACCUGAAAUCAUGCACAAAGACAUGUUAGCACCAAAGGCGGGAUAAGGAAAAGGAAGCACUUCAGAUAUAUGAGCAAUCAAGAUUGAUAGAUUAUGUGUAUUGGU
Sturnus vulgaris (Common starling) is the source of this 1094-nucleotide non-coding RNA. Lineage: Eukaryota; Metazoa; Chordata; Aves; Passeriformes; Sturnidae. The record is from RefSeq and is a predicted model, not a curated record.